GACGAGCGCUGGCGGCGUGCCUAAUACAUGCAAGUUGAGCGCUGAAGGUUGGUACUUGUUCCAACUGGAUGAGCAGCGAACGGGUGAGUAACGCGUGGGGAAUCUGCCUUUGAGCGGGGGACAACAUUUGGAAACGAAUGCUAAUACCGCAUAAAAACUUUAAACACAAGUUUUAAGUUUGAAAGAUGCAAUUGCAUCACUCAAAGAUGAUCCCGCGUUGUAUUAGCUAGUUGGUGAGGUAAAGGCUCACCAAGGCGAUGAUACAUAGCCGACCUGAGAGGGGGAAUCGCCAAAAUGGGAAUGGGACACGGCCCAAACUUCUAAGGGAAGCAGCAGUAGGGAAACUUUGGGAAAGGAGGAAAGGCUGAACGAGGAACGCCGGGGGAGGGAAGAAGGGUCUCGGAUCGUAAAACUCUGUUGGUAGAGAAGAAAGAUGGGGGGAGUGGAAAGCGCAUCAAGUGACGGUAACUACCCAGAAAGGGACGGCUAACUACGUG
RNAcentral lists this ribosomal RNA (497 nucleotides) under uncultured bacterium. Its description in RNAcentral is "partial 16S ribosomal RNA". It matches the Rfam family "Bacterial small subunit ribosomal RNA", at positions 28 to 507 of the family's 1533-position model. The record is from RNAcentral.